AUUGUUUCUCAGCUUUUUGGCUAAGAUCAAGUGCAGUAGCUGUUCUCAUCAGCUUAAUAUCUGAUAUGUCCUCUUUCUGUGGACAAUUUAUUAAGUGGAUUUUUGGAGCUGGUUGAUGGAAUGGGAGCUUGCUCCAGCCACUCCAUGCAUCAACCCAGUAUUGUAGUACCUCUAGAAUGGUGUACCAAAA
RNAcentral lists this small nuclear RNA (190 nucleotides) under Dasypus novemcinctus (nine-banded armadillo). RNAcentral describes it as "U2 spliceosomal RNA (ENSDNOG00000026955.1)". It matches the Rfam family "U2 spliceosomal RNA". Rfam says of the family: U2 is a small nuclear RNA (snRNA) component of the spliceosome (involved in pre-mRNA splicing). Complementary binding between U2 snRNA (in an area lying towards the 5' end but 3' to hairpin I) and the branchpoint sequence (BPS) of the intron results the bulging out of an unpaired adenosine, on the BPS, which initiates a nucleophilic attack at the intronic 5' splice site, thus starting the first of two transesterification reactions that mediate splicing. The record is from RNAcentral. Lineage: Eukaryota; Metazoa; Chordata; Mammalia; Cingulata; Dasypodidae.